RNAcentral lists this long non-coding RNA (8508 nucleotides) under Sus scrofa (pig). RNAcentral's name for it is "lncRNA (ENSSSCG00040035487.1)". The record is from RNAcentral. Lineage: Eukaryota; Metazoa; Chordata; Mammalia; Artiodactyla; Suidae.
UGUGUGGACAGCCUUACACACUGCAUCGUAUUUCAUUCAAAUCAAUGUAGGAAUCAGUGGCAAGAGGACUGGGUUUUCCUAUAGGUUAACUGCAUUGCUCUCAUAAGAUUUAGAUGCCAUUGUUUAGUGACAUGAUUAAGUCCACCUUACCAAGUGGUGAGCUCUUUGAAAUUACUCUACUAUGCAUUAUAAAUUAAAAUUUCCCUUGCUUGUGACACAUACAAGCAUUCUAGAAAGAAUAUAGGCAAAGACAAACACAGUAUUGGAAAAAAACUAGUUAUAUUUUCCUCCAAUCCCUACACAUGACGGAACUGAGUCCAAUGAUAUUAACUGACUUUCCUCAAAAACACCUGUGAUAGGGAGUUCCCGCUGUGGGAAAGGAUAGGCACAGUGGGUUAAGGAUCCAGUGUUACCACUAGCUGUGAUAUAGGUCGCAGAUGAGGCUCAGUUUCAAUCCCUGGCCUCAGAACUUCUAUGUGCUGUAGGUGAGGCCAAAAAUGAAACAAACAAAAAACAGAACAAAAACAUAUAUGAUAGAGCCAAAGCUAGAAACUUUAUAUUUUGCCUCUCCAUGACACUAUACUGACCUGAGGGUUAGUAAAAGACCUCUUUGCCCAAAGGUAGGGAAUUAAUUGCUAUGAGCCCAGAUAGGGUUGUGUGGCAAUCAUUUAGAACUAGAAACAACAGUAGCUACAUCAGUAGUCACAAUAGGAAUGUAGAGAAUACAACCUGAAAUUGUCAUAAGUGCUUAAGAGGAACUAACAGGUACAACCCUUGAAAUGAGAAAUAAGAGACUGGAGUUUCCAUUGUGGCUCAGCAGUAACAAACCUGACUAGUGUCCAUAAGGAUGUGGGUUCAAUGCCUGGCCAUGCUCAGUGUGUUAAGGAUGCUGCAUUGUGGUGAGCUACGAUAUAGGUCACAGAUUAGUCUGGGAACUUCCAUAUGCCAUGGGUGAGGCCCUCAAAAAAAAAGGGAGGGAGAGAGAGAGAAAGUACACUAGUGUUAAAAACAAAAAUUUUAUACUUAAAUAAUUCAACUGUUGCACCUGGGAGAUUUAAUACUCCACCUUAUUAUGACAAUGAAACUAAUAUGGAAAACUAAAACCAAAAGGCUAUGUGAACAAUGAGGCUUUUUGAUUAUUUAAUGCAGAGUAGGAUAAAAAUACAGUAUUUUUUAAAAUGGUGUGUGUGUGUGUGCUCAAUAGGCCAUCCAACUGCUCCCUGGGACAGGUAGUUCUAGAAUGAAUAGGAAGAAAGUCAGCUGGGUAGGGGAGCAGGACUCUUUAUACAAAGUAGCUGCAGAAAUCAGCUGAGGCUAAGCCAUGUCCAACAAAACUCAACCCCACAUCCUAGUGGUAAGGGAAAUCCAAAAAAAUCAAUCACAAUGUUAUUUUUAAAAGAAAACAGGAACAAAGAUGACAUUAUUAGAAAAGAAAACCUACAGAUAAAAAUAACCCACCAGAUCUCUUAAAGCUCUUUAGAAACAAAAUAUGGUACUUCAUAGAAAUUAUAGGCAUCUAAACAAAGAAACCAAGGAAUCCCAUGCAAGAGUCUAGAGAGCCUAAUGUAAAUCUGUUAAGUGUAGCAACAGGAGGAGAUGAGAAGGAUUCCACAAACCACCUGGCCACAGGAAUGAGAAAGCAUCCUCAGGGUAACAAGGUAAAAGUCAGGAAACUAUCUUUUGCCUCAGUCUAUCUCAAGGUCAUUCACCUGUUCCAUAUUUUAAAAGGACAAUCAGAUCAAAGGAUGCUAGAGAUGUGAUCUUUACAAACAAAUUGCAAAUCAAAUGUAAAUGAGUCAUCCUUGCUGGAUGGCAUCCACCUACAAAUUCUAAAAGUAACUCAAAGGUGGGACCUUGAGAUGGCAGAUCAAUGUAGAUAUGCUUUUAAACUGCCACACUCUAGACCAUUUGAGAUUUGCCAGAGAGAUUUCCCCACAAGCAGGCAUCAAAGGGGAGUCAGGUGAAGCUCCCUUUUCAUAAUGAAGCCAAAUCCCAGUGAGAAGCAUAAAGCAAUUGAUGCUCUGUCCCCACUUGAGGAAGGGCAGGGGAGAGAAAAGAGCACUGGGCCAGCAGGAAGACUGCUGUACUACUCAUGCUCGCACUUAAGUUACUGAGCCUUCUAAAGUCUCAAUUUCCUCAUUCUUAAAAGAGGUAUAAUAAUCCCUAACCAAAAAAAAAAAAAAAAAUUUAAUUCAAAGUAGAAUUCAAGGAGAUAACAUGACCAUCGCUGUCAAAUUACAGCAGCAACUAAUAUUUUUAGAGCUUUCAUUACGUUGUCAAGCACUGAACUAGGUAUCUUGCACGCAAUGCUCGCGUUGCAGGUACUCAACACUCAAACAAGUGAGCACAUAGAAAGCACUUUGUAAAGUGUAACUUGUUGUGAACACAUAGGAACUUAUGAACAGAUCAUGGGAUCUAUUAACAAGGAUGUAGCACUGAGCAAGCCACCAAACAUGAGAUACAGGAGGAAAAUCAACAUGCCUUCUGAAAGAUGAAAUAACACUGGAUUAAUAUGCUAGUCAGUUUCCUAAGGGUGCUAUAAACCACUAAGGUCAUGAAGCAAGAACAAAUUAAUGGUGGAUGGUAUCAUGUAAUUUCUCCCUAUUUUUAAAAUAAAAGCCCUCACCAAAAAUCAUACUCAAUGGGGCACUAAUGAAUACAUUAUGGCAUGGGACACUAUGCAACCAUUAGUAAAGAUGCUGUAGGUGAAUAUUCGAUAAUAGAGAAAGACAUUUCACAACAUGCUAUUAAAAGAGAAGAGCAAAUCACGAAGUAUAUGUAAACCAUGAUCCUAAUUCUAUAACUUAUGCCUGGGGGUGGGAGGGAGUCUGAAAUGGUAUACAACAACAAAAAAAAAGUUAUCUAGAUUUCUCUAGUACUGAACAUAUAAUUAAACUUCCAUUUUUUCAGUUCUUUCUGUUUUUUUCAUUUUUCUACAAUGAACACAUUAAUCUAUAAUGAGAAACUUUUAAAAAUACAAAUGAAUCUUUAAAUCCUAUCAGGGAAAACUGUAGCUUCACUCAUUCUAAGAAUGUAAAAAAGCAAGCUUUGCUUUGGAACGCAAUGGGAAGCACUUCAAAGUUCCUUCAGUGUUGCCAAGGUUUAUUUAACAAUAUUUUCUCACCAUAUAUUAUACAAGAACAGAACUAAACAGAUGGUCUACAUCGGAAACCCAGCAAUCUAGGAAAAGCUAUCCUCACUACCUACUCAUCAUAUAUUUCAUACUAUACAUCACACACACAAAUCCUUAUUGUCUUGUUAAUAACAUACAUGCCUCAGUACAACAUAGAUCCCUAUGUCAAAGUCAUCCUACAGGGCAUACAUACACACAUCGGUGCAUGUGUGUGUGUGUCUUCAGAAGAUGACACAAUUCACACUCACAGUAUUAACUGACACAAUACAAACCGGUUUACAUUGUGAGAUAUUCACACUCACAAUGUGAACUGACUUGCUUUAAAAGUUAUGUUCUUGCAUCAUGUAUUUGUCAAUUUUAUACAGAAAAAAAAAAAAAACUAAGUAGCUUGAAAUUUGCAGUAAACAGAGGCAAGGCUUGCAUUUGACUCUGUAUUAUGCAUGCAAAUGGCAUCUUCGCAUCAAAUUAGUCUUCCAGAAGCAACAUUUCCUUUAUGUCACUUCCUUCCUGAACCAAUCAAUGGCCCUUUAUUUCUUUCAGGAUCAAGUACAAAUGGCUCGGCCUGGCAUCCAAAGUUCACCCGGAGUCUCCAGGCUUCUUUGCUGAUAUUUUCCAACAUCAGCCCUUAACUCUACUCAGGCUAGAGUCCAUACUACAACCCCAAAACAGCACAUCCUUUCUGUGUUCCUUUAUUUGCAUUAUUUUUUCCCAAUGGGAGUAUCCUUCAUCUUUUUCCUUCCCCUAUAAAUCAUCCUGGUCUUUAGUAUCAGACUUCAGGCCAUUUCCAUGAUACACUCUCAUCCUCUGGUUUCUCUAACUUAUUUCUGAACCAAUCUGCUUUACAGUUUGGUCAUAUUUUGUCUAUUACUCUUUAGAAAAUUAUUUCUUAAGAAUACUAGACUCCCAAUAAAUGUAUAUUGAAUUAAGCUCAAAUGUCUAGCGGUAUAAAGUUUUAUAGAGGUGAUGGUAUAACAUGUAACAAAAAAGAGCCAGUGUUAGGACUUUAGUGACUUAACUGGAAAUACAUGAUGCCACUGCCAUUUAAAAAGAAUUUAGCUUUUUUUUUUUUAAUCUGGCCAUAAAACUAGGUCAGCAAGACCCUCUUCCUAAAAAUACUUUGUUGGGAAUUAGUUUUCUUUGUAUGUACCUGAAUGUAAUAAAACAGCAUUCUUUAAAAAUUGUAUUUAAUUCAGUCAUUUUGCUAAUUAAGACUAGACUUCUCCCCAAUCAGAAUAAAAUCACAAAGUCAUCUAAUUUUUUGAGCUCAAAGAGACCUUAGAGAUUAUUUCCAGAAUCAGAGAGUAACUUGCCCAAGGCCAGGUAGAUGGUUAGUCAAAAUGAUUUUUUUUUUUAAUUUUGUCAUCACUACUUAGGGUAAUUCAGUGUAAGGAAAAGGAAAUGGAUUCAGAGCCAGAAACCCAGGCUUCUAACACAAGCCAAGUUUUAUUUGCUUUGAGCUUUUUCCUGAGCUGUAGAGUGGAAGUAAUAGCACAUGGCGUCACAAGGUUGUUAGUGAUAGGUAGGUACCAGGUAAGAGGUAAUAUAUAAGCUGGCCAUUUUAAACUGCCAACUUGUAUUCUCAGCCUAAGCUGUGCUGGUUGUUCACACACUCCUAUUACAGGGAACCCUGUGCCCCGAAUCCAUGCAUCUCUUCUCUCGCCAAUGCCACAAACUUAGUCCAAACCACCAUAAUCUCUAUUCUUCUCUAACAAAAGUCUCUGAACUGGCUUCUCCCCAUUACUAUAUUUCCUUUUCCUAGACUGCAGCCAGAGUCCUCUUUCAAAAACCUACACCUGUGUGGCCCAUUUCUUCUUUCAACUCCUUCAAUAUCUCCCCUCAUUUUUCCCCUUAGACUAAACCAUGCACCCUCAAAAGCUCCUCAAGACUCUGCUGCCUUGGGGCUUAGUUCACCCACCAAGGUUUAUCUUGUAAUUUUCCUCCUUGGUCUUUACUCACGUCUACUCCUUCCAUUCCUGGAAAAUGCUAGUCUCCCCUGUGCUUCAGACCCUGCCAAGACUCUCUUUGCUGGGAAAGCCCCCUCUCCAAGUAGCUCUUACUCGUCAUUCAAAUUCAAUUACAUGUGAAUUCCUCAAGGAAAGCCCUUCCUAGUUUCUGAGACUAGCUAAGUCUCCCUAAAAUACAUCCUCAAGGUACCCUAAGUUCUCCCUCAUUAUAUAUUACAAUGGUAAUUAAUUUGUUAUCUUUUAGGUGUCUAUAGCCUUUGCUAUAAGGUUUUUAAGAGACUUGGCUUAGGCCUAAUAAAUAUUUAUUGAAGAAAAAGAGGGAGGGAAGGAGGGAUUCAGUUGUUUCUUGCAUAUCCACCCACAUUCUUAUUACUUUCUACCUCGUAAAUAUACGCAAGCUAGCUGACAUAACUACUCAUCCUUCAUGCUGUACACAUGAUACAAACAAAAAUAACUUUAAACCCACAGAAUGCCCACUCUUCUCCUUCCUCCUUAGCUCAAACCACAUUAUUGCCUAAUGGGAAAGAUAGGAAAUUAAAAUUUCAGUAACAAAACCAUCGCUGUUACUAGGAGCAGUUUCAAGCCUCCAUCUGAUAUGCCAGCACCUGUUGGGUCAGGUCGGUGAGAUUAGUUUUAUCUCUGAUACAUGAGACAGAAGUCACAGUUCCUCCCCACUGCUGCUCAGACAGAAGGUCCCCAGUGGAUAGCAGCUCUGAUUGCAGGCUGCCUGGACCAGACUGACCCAGCCCAGAAUUCCCCCAGAGAAUCCGGUAGGGACUGCGAAUCUGGGUUUCCUCCCAGUGUCUUGCUGCUCUGUCCUUCAGAGACAGUCAUGCAUCCCCUAUCCCAGGAGCAGGUGACAGCUUCUGGGGCUGCAAGGUUGAAAGAAGUGAAGAUGACAAGAGGGAGAAAGGUAAGCCUCCUUACCUGCCCACCCCCAAGUGUAUACAGUUGCUUUCAUGAGAAAAGGGGACAGGUUCCUGAAACAAGGAAGAUAUUUAUAUAAAUUCUUGUGUCCUCAUAAAACUGGCAUUCAUUCAAUUUAAAAAUGAAGUUGUGUCAUUGGUUGAAGUGUACCUAAUUCUGCACUUAAAAUAAGGAUAUAAAAACAGCCCUAUGCACGACACCUAUGCAGAAUCCCUUAAUAUCACUUGAUAUUUCAAUAGAAGGCAAAUACCAAUGAUGCAUGUCAACCAUGACAGCAUAUUUCCCUGCCUAACUUCCUUUCUUUCUGAGUUUCUUCAUACUGCAUAAGAGAGGAGGAACAUAAAGGGAGAAAAGAGAUGGAGGUUAUUUGAGCAGUAGAGUUCUGGUCUGCUGACACCCUCAGCAAGAUUCAUUAAUCUUAGAGAUUCUCACUCUCAUUUACUAAACAACAGUGAUUCACACAGAGUUACACAGCCACAGUAGCAAAGUUAAUUGGAAUCUAGAUCCCCUAACAUUUCUUCCUUCCUUCAGCAAUUCCUCAGUACUGCAAGCUAAAAUAUUAAGUGAGGCUGCUGUCGUCUUAUGAACAAGGGGAAAAAAAGGCUGGCUAGCAUGGAAUUAAAAAAUGGACACGUGUUUUCCUUCCAUUUUUAUUUUGCUCUGCUUUGUGUUUUGGCUUAAGCCCUUUGAGCAAAGUGAGAAGAAGGCUGAAGCAGCUUAGGCAGCCCUGUCUCAAUACUUGUAUCUCCCCCCCUUAGCAUUAGAUUAGCACUGGGAGCUCAACAUGGCUCUCACCCAAGUCCAGAGAAAUAAAGAAAGGAUGGAGGCCAGGAGAGAGACAGCUAUGAACACUGGCAAAUUCUGUUCAGUCAGUGGCAAGCAGCCAGAUAAGCCCUUUUAAUUUAACUCUUUAUCUUCUCCGGCAGAAGCAAACAGUGCACGUGCUUGAAGCAUCAUGACUUUCAAAGCACACAAACGACAUCAUGCAGGCACCAUUAUCGCAAUCAUGGGAAUGAAGAAACUGAGACUUACAUGAGAUUAUGGUCUAUGUUUUAUCAGGACAUCAGUAAUAGAUUCAAAAUCAGUGUCUACAUUUUGGAACCUGUGUCUCAGUGUUCUUGACAACCUGACCAUCUUCCCUACUUAGCGUCCAGACCAGCACUGCGUAUAUCGGUGUCACUGACGUUUUUAAAUAGUAAGGAAUAAUACAGAACACAAGGAAAUCACGAUGGUUGGAAGGGUAAUGGCAUGAAGAAAAGGAUCAUGUAAGGGAAGUAUCUUUUAAAUUUAUUUCAAAUAAUUCUACCGGCAUGGUGGACAGAGAUACAGUAAAGACAGUGUCUUAGGUAGGGGAAUAUAGUAAACAAGAUAUUCAGAGCAUAAACACUGUUAGAUGCCAGAAGACAGGGUUGGCUUUAGGAUUUGACCACAAUUGCGGAAGGUGGAACAUGGUCUUCUGGGGUUGGUCUGUAGCCAGUUACAAAAUGAAACAAGAAAAGAAAUCCGAAGGCCUUCUGGUCAAUUGCUUUAAUUCUAGACCCUGCUGUCCUUCUCUAGAUUAAUGAGCUACUUAUGAAGAACUCCCACAAAGGGAUAUACAUUUUUCAGCAGUCAUCACAGUCAUCUGAAUGGGAAUGCAGAUUGAGGGUGUUGCAUCAAAACACAAACUGAAAGCUUGUGACAAGGUCUAUUCAACCACCUUUGAAACCUAGAAAGAAGACAAUAAACACUCAAAGGUAAAGGCUAAGUUCUUCAGAAUGUCCAUAUUGGCAUUGUUUUUAAUAAAUUAUGUCAGAUAUUUCCUUGGAAUGAAAGUGCGUCAGAAAAAAAUAAACUGUCACUCCUGUAUCUCAAACAAAAGGACCACACUGUAGUCCACGCUCACCAAAUCUGUGCUGAUGGAUGGCGGUGGCGGUGGUGAUGACGAUAACAGUAGCCUUCCUACUCUGCCAAAAAUCAGAACUCACGGCUGGUGCCUUAACUCUUUUUAAGUUAUGUGGGUAAAAUCAGAAACUUAUUAUUUUCACUUUCUAAUUACUUGCUACUACCUAAUAUUAAAAUAAUGUGUGAAUUGGACUCAAAAAAAGUUAUUUCUUGAAGGGUUUUGUUUUCAGUCCUUAUCAGAGGGAGCUGUCAAAUACCACUGGAGAGGUUUCAUCAAGGCAUUAACAUUGAAUUGUUUGGGGGGGGUGGAAAGUGUGAGGGGUUUUUAGGCAUGGGCUCUUGAAAGAUGGUCUCUAAAGAGAGCCUCCUGACAAGGAGAUAGAACACUCAUGUCCUCACUGACUGGCUGCUACAGGGCCCCCCUCAGGGGUUAGCCAAGCUUCAUUUACUGCAGUGUACUUUGCUCUUCUCCUGGCCACCCAGCAGCCCAUAUCUGGCUGCAGACAGAAGCCAAGCCAACCUUCAUGGCCAGAUGAGCCAGGGAUGGGGGUGGGGUGGGCCAAGUGGAGUUCAUCUCUUCUGUAGUCCCCAAAGGGCACA